AUUGAACGCUGGCGGCAUGCUUUACACAUGCAAGUCGAACGGCAGCGCGGGCUUCGGCCUGGCGGCGAGUGGCGAACGGGUGAGUAAUACAUCAGAACGUGCCCAGUAGUGGGGGAUAGCUCGGCGAAAGCCGGAUUAAUACCGCAUACGACCUGAGGGUGAAAGCGGGGGAUCUUCGGACCUCGCGCUAUUGGAGCGGCCGAUGGCAGAUUAGCUAGUUGGUGGGGUAAAGGCCUACCAAGGCGACGAUCUGUAGCUGGUCUGAGAGGACGACCAGCCACACUGGGACUGAGACACGGCCCAGACUCCUACGGGAGGCAGCAGUGGGGAAUUUUGGACAAUGGGCGAAAGCCUGAUCCAGCAAUGCCGCGUGUGUGAUGAAGGCCUUCGGGUUGUAAAGCACUUUUGGCGGGAACGAAAAGGACUGUGCCAAUACCACGGUUCGAUGACGGUACCCGCAGAAUAAGCACCGGCUAACUACGUG
This 484-nucleotide ribosomal RNA is filed under the name uncultured bacterium. RNAcentral describes it as "partial 16S ribosomal RNA". It matches the Rfam family "Bacterial small subunit ribosomal RNA", at positions 29 to 507 of the family's 1533-position model. The record is from RNAcentral.